GCACUGCUGAGGAGUCGCAUAAUAGGACGAAAUGGCCGUCCAGUGC
Molecule: non-coding RNA, 46 nt
Organism: Schistosoma curassoni
Lineage: Eukaryota; Metazoa; Platyhelminthes; Trematoda; Strigeidida; Schistosomatidae
Source: Rfam